This is a non-coding RNA of Podarcis lilfordi (Lilford's wall lizard), 1521 nucleotides long. The record is from the annotation of a GenBank genome assembly. Lineage: Eukaryota; Metazoa; Chordata; Lepidosauria; Squamata; Lacertidae.
CACCCUGCUUUUUUAAAACACCCAGAGUAUGGCAGAAACAUUAGGAAUGAGUUAACAGCUGUACUAAUCAAUUUUGUUUUAAGCUUUCCAAAGUAUUUGUCUCCGAAACGUGGUUUGAAGUACAGUGCUUUUGCUUUACUAGAAAGGGAUUUGCUGCUCCAGUCUUAAUUUGCACCAAGGAGAUUUCUGUUUCCUUUAAUUCCAGCCUACUUUCUCUAAAUCCCAGAGCCUCCGUCUAUAAUCUUGGCGAUUUCUUGGAGACCAGGCAAGGUCCCUGCAGACUUGGAGCUAGGGGGAAAAGGAAGACUCAGGUAACUAGUGACUGGUGAACUUGAUAUUGAUACCAGAAAUGGUCAUAGAACAGAUAAUUAAACAGUCAGUCUGAGCAUUGAGAAAAGGAUGCUAUAAUUACUAAAACCCAGUAUGGCUUUAUCAAAAACAAGUCAUGCCAGACGAAUCUCAUUUCCUUUCCUUUCUUUUUUCUUUAUCUGAGUUACUAUCACCACAGGGGAACGCUGUGGGCAUAGUUUACAAACCAUUUAUAAGCCCCAUUUAUUUCAGUGCAACUUAUUUCUAGGCAGGUAUAUUCUGUAUGGAUUGCAUCUGGGCACUAUGACACUCAGAAGUCCUGUUCUGAGCCAAACUUGAUCAAUAGACACAAAACUGCAAGUUAUAGAAGCAAAAGUAGACUGAAAUCAACAGACUUUUAUUUCCUAGUAAGUACACUGAAGAUUAACAGCCUUGCUUGGGAACAAGUGCCCCCUGAGAUCAAUGAAGCCUUAUUCUCAUUCAAGUACAGUAUAGCUCAAUCUCAAAUAUGCUGAAAUAGUGUUGAAUACUGAGGGAUUAGACUACAAUCCUAACCAUACCUCCUUAGAAAUAUAUUCCUCUGAAAUCAGAACUUCAGAUUGUGUGGUACAUAGUUGUUUCCUAUCAAAGGUGGACCAUUCCCAAACCUGGAGAAUGUUUAGAAAUGGAAAAUGCUUGCUGCACAUGUAAGGAUAAAGCUCUGCUUUUAUUUACACAGAUUCUAGCAAAUCACUUGCUUGCAAGGCUGUAACAAGAGAGGCACUUAAGCAAGAAGCAAUUGCACUGGAGUUCCAGGCCAUGCUGUUUGUUCUCUAGCCGAGUGGGUUGUCAAGAUAACCCUUCACAAUUAACCCCUGGUCGCCAAAGGAAUGAUUACAAGUGCAACGCAACUGGAAUUUUCUCAGUUGUCCUUUGCUGAAAGAGAAUUGCGCCAGAAAAUAAUCCUGCUGGGAUACGCCCUGAAAUGUUAACCUAACUUUUCCCAGGACUUUGUUCUGGGUCAGUAUUUCAAAAUUCAAGUUACGGCUACAGUCUUGAGGACGGCUUGUAUUCAGACGUACUUAGCAGAGUCAUGAUGCAGUUAUGUUUAGGCAUUGUACAUGCCAUAGGUCUGAAGCACCUGAUUCCCUCCACCUAACACUUGAAAUUUUAAUGUAUUUUUAAAUAUUUUGUUGGAACCCGCCCAGAGUGGCUGGGGAAACCCAGCCAGAU